RNAcentral lists this ribosomal RNA (520 nucleotides) under uncultured Glomeromycotina. RNAcentral's name for it is "SSU rRNA". It matches the Rfam family "Eukaryotic small subunit ribosomal RNA", at positions 569 to 1084 of the family's 1831-position model. Lineage: Eukaryota; Fungi; Glomeromycota. The record is from RNAcentral.
AGCAGCCGCGGUAAUUCCAGCUCCAAUAGCGUAUAUUAAAGUUGUUGCAGUUAAAAAGCUCGUAGUUGAAUUUCGGGAUUGGCGCAUCGGUCGUGCCUCACGGGGUAUGAACUGGUGCAGUCAAUUUCUCACCUUUUGGAGAACCGCGAUGUCCUUAAUUGGGUGCCGCGGGGAACCAGGACCUUUACUUUGAAAAAUUAGAGUGUUUAAAGCAGGCAUUUUUGCUUGAAUACAUUAGCAUGGAAUAAUAAAAUAGGACGGCAUGGUUCUAUUUUGUUGGUUUCUAGGACCACCGUAAUGAUUAAUAGGGAUAGUUGGGGGCAUUAGUAUUCAAUUGUCAGAGGUGAAAUUCUUGGAUUUAUUGAAGACUAACUACUGCGAAAGCAUUUGCCAAGGAUGUUUUCAUUAAUCAAGAACGAAGGUUAGGGGAUCGAAGACGAUCAGAUACCGUCGUAGUCUUAACCAUAAACUAUAGCCGACUAGGAAUCAGACGAUGUUAAUUUUUAAUGUACUCGUUGUC